AAAUAGCCCGGAUUGAAACGACAUCCUUUUGGGUUGCGGGUGAAGCGAAGCGGAGCCCGUAACCCAAAAGAUACAGUGGAAAGCCGGAAAAGCU
Molecule: non-coding RNA, 94 nt
Organism: Chryseobacterium arachidis
Lineage: Bacteria; Pseudomonadati; Bacteroidota; Flavobacteriia; Flavobacteriales; Weeksellaceae
Source: Rfam